RNAcentral lists this ribosomal RNA (537 nucleotides) under Enterobacter hormaechei. Its description in RNAcentral is "partial 23S ribosomal RNA". It matches the Rfam family "Bacterial large subunit ribosomal RNA", at positions 1220 to 1756 of the family's 2925-position model. RNAcentral also lists the same sequence under 1 other name. Lineage: Bacteria; Pseudomonadati; Pseudomonadota; Gammaproteobacteria; Enterobacterales; Enterobacteriaceae. The record is from RNAcentral.
GUUGUUGGGUAGGGGAGCGUUCUGUAAGCCGUUGAAGGUGUGCUGUGAGGCAUGCUGGAGGUAUCAGAAGUGCGAAUGCUGACAUAAGUAACGAUAAAGCGGGUGAAAAGCCCGCUCGCCGGAAGACCAAGGGUUCCUGUCCAACGUUAAUCGGGGCAGGGUGAGUCGACCCCUAAGGCGAGGCCGAAAGGCGUAGUCGAUGGGAAACAGGUUAAUAUUCCUGUACUUGGUGUUACUGCGAAGGGGGGACGGAGAAGGCUAUGUCAGCCGGGCGACGGUUGUCCCGGUUUAAGCAUGUAGGCGGAGGUUCCAGGUAAAUCCGGUACCUUUUAACGCUGAGGUGUGAUGACGAGGCACUACGGUGCUGAAGUGAUAAAUGCCCUGCUUCCAGGAAAAGCCUCUAAGCAUCAGGUAACACGAAAUCGUACCCCAAACCGACACAGGUGGUCAGGUAGAGAAUACCAAGGCGCUUGAGAGAACUCGGGUGAAGGAACUAGGCAAAAUGGUGCCGUAACUUCGGGAGAAGGCACGCUGAUA